Long non-coding RNA from Piliocolobus tephrosceles (Ugandan red Colobus), 3350 nucleotides. RefSeq lists it as uncharacterized. The record is from RefSeq and is a predicted model, not a curated record. The transcript has 6 exons. Lineage: Eukaryota; Metazoa; Chordata; Mammalia; Primates; Cercopithecidae.
ACAGUUUAGUCUGGGAGCAGAAAUAACCAACAUGCCCAUUAGACACAGGAUGGAAUAAUGCUUCUAUUGGUUGGGUCCCUUCGAGAGAGAACCAUUCUCUGCUUUCAAUAGGACAGAAGAGCUCCUUGGCACUGGAUGCCUCCGGGUCUGGUUGAGAGAGGAAUGGUUAGGAGACUGUUCUGAGGAUACGCAGACAUCAUCCAAAGCUUCCUACAUUCAGAUGAGGACAGAGGUUGGGCCAGAGCAUGGCAUGCUUGUUACCUAAGGACAGUUCUGACCAUGUGAGCAAAUCACAGAAGCUGGAAGCAAAGGAUGUGAAGAUGGGAGAGCCGCAUAAUGGAAGGAUCCCAGAUUUCAGAGCUGUCACUUGGAGGAGGGGCACCCAGUGAAGGUAUCUAUCUAAUCCACACCAUAUCUUCAUGAAGUGACCAUAUGGAUUUGAUCCCUAUCCUUCAGAGGUGCUCAGCCCAAGGGAACACUGGUAGUAGAUUAAGCACUGACCAGAGCCAGCCUUAACGAUGGACUGAUGGCAAUCUAAAACAUAAGCAGAGGAGUAUACAGGAUAGGAACUUGAUGGUCUGGGGGCAAUGGACAGCCUGACUCAGGUGAAAAAGAUUGAUCAUCAGAUGUUUCUUAUGAAUCAACCUGAUAUUUAAAUCCAUGAAGGAGAGAGAUGACAAAACCAGGUAGAAUAGAUAGAGAAGAGGUCCAAGGUCUGAGCCCUACAUUACUCAGAGUGUUAGAGAUUAGGAAGAAAAGGAAGACCUGGCAAACGAAUGUCCUGGGAUGUAGAAAGAAAACCAGAAGUUUGUAGAAAGAAAACCAGAAUAAAGAAAGGGCUUCCAGAAGGACAAAGUGUAGUGUGUCAAAUCUCCUGAGCAAUCAGAGGAGAGCACCAAGGGGCUCACAGGACAUUGGUAUCCGGAUCACCCAGUGACACUUCCUGAUCAUGAGAAACUGUCAGACCAACAGGGGCACUUUCUGUAACCAGCGGUUCUUCAUUGCCCAAAUGCAACCUUGAUGGUUUGAUUUUGGAGGAUGGCAAUUCAUUAAUAGCACUCUGCAGUGAUAAAUACGAAAACCAAUAAAACUCCCCACCCAAGGCAACCUCUCCCAGCUCCUCACUUUGAGUGAAGUGAGUAACCUCCAUUUCUGCCAACUCCUGUCUUGUCUGAAGCCACAUUUCCCCAGCAAUGUCACAUAUGCAUUUUUUGAUCCUGGUCAUUUCUCCACUUGGGAGAUGAAUCAUAAAGAAAAUGAGAUCUGUGUGCCCUGGUGACUAUGGAUGCAAGAGUCUGCUGCCCUGGAGGGAACAGCUGGAAAAGAAGUAGAUGGUGAAGGCGGGUUGGGGGGAAACAGUGGAAAAGGUACCUGUGCAGGGGAUCAAGGUGACAGAGUGAUCAGUUAUGUUGUUUGGACAUGCGAGAACAGGGGGUUAUAAAAAUGGAUACAGGAGGAGCAAAAGAACGUAAGGACUAAAACAUGAAAAAAACGCAGAUUUACAGGCAAAUAUGUGAUGUUUCCACAUUUUCUGCCCCCAGUUAGCAGGGGCAGCACAAAGAGCGUUACUGUGGAGCUGAGCUUUGGGUAAAAGAUUAACAACCAGGCCUUUCUCUCCAGUGUCUGCUUCCUUCUGGGCUUGCCCUGGGGGAAAAGGAGGGCUGGCAUGGAUGUGCCUGCAGCCUUCACCCUGAACAUUCUUCCACGCCUCUCUGUUCAUUCAUUGCUUAGUCAUUCCUCAGGCAUGGAUUGAGCCCACUGUGUAUCCAGCAUCGACCUGGCAUAGGAUGGACAUAGAGAUGGGAAAGGCACAGGGAGCAGGUGACAGAGACAAAUGAAGGUCAUGAGAAUAGCAGAGUAGGACAGAAAAUGAAGGCAGGGGAUGGGGUUCUAGAGAAAGCAAGAGCAGGACUGACCCGUGUCUGCCUCACCUGUUACUGUUGUAGCCUCUUCUCCUUGGAGUAUCCCUCCUGCUCUUGCAUCACCUUAGGAACUUGGAUCAGAGAGGAAAGUUACAGCAUGGAUAUGUUGUAGUAGGAGGGGACAGACACGUUUGGAAACAGAAAUGCUUGGGGAGUGGGUGUUUUUGGGGGAUGAGACUUUCCGGGUCUCUCAAUUCACACUAUGUAGGUAGUUCACUGCACAGCUUAAAUAAGAGACAACCCUCCGGAGUGGUUGGUUCUCAUCCAUAAAAUGUGUUUUGGGCCUCAGAUUUCCAAAGGAAGGGCUGAAGCGUGACUCACCUGACGUCAAGUACUGAUGGUCACCUGCCCCUGCCCUAUCAGGUGUGGAAAUGCUGGGGUUGCUCUCUCAGAACCUACUCCCUGAGAUGUCAAAAUAUACCCAGGAGUAUUUCUGGACCUUCUCCAAUCCAAAAUUGUUUGGUUUUUGUGUGUGUGUGCCUACUUGGCCUCACUAAAAGAUGGAGGCGGCCUGGGUGAAAUGCAGAUUUCUAGAGGCUCUCUGAUAAAGCUCAGGCCACCAGCCCCAGGCCAGCCUGUGGGUAGUCCUGGCUGACAGUCACUUCAUACCUCAUCUGGGCUUUUUGCCAAAUUCAAAGUGUGUGUAUGUGUGGAGUGCGGGGUUCCCACCACUGGCAGUCUGUAAGUCAUUCACUUAGCUCAAUUUGUCUUACUUUCUUCUGAAAUUUCUUCCUUCUUGUUUUCUUUUCCCCAGGAGAAGCACUCCUAGGGCAGCCUCCCAGCAAGCUUUCCCUAAUAAGAAGGCAGAGCUCCUCUUCACCCAGACUUCAGACCUAUAGAGACAGCCUGGGGUCCCAGGAUGCACUUGCACUCAGAGAUGUCCCCAGAGUCCUAGGGGAAUGGAGGAUAACUAGGAGGAAGCUGUUCAUGGCUGCGGAUGGGGUCUAUACAUUCUUGUCUAUCUCAGUGCUGUCUGCUAUUGAAUUUUUGUGCAGAUCACAUUAAUUUAAAGCCAGUUCUCAAGAAGCUCCCCCCGGCAUGUCUACUAGUUUCUCCCCUUUCCUGCCAUUAAUCAGUGUCUGCUAAUUAAACAACAAACUCCUGUUUGUCCAAACAGCUGCCAACACCCCCACCCCAAGGCAGUUAAAUGAGGAUAAAUGAGUCAGUCUUAUUAAAAAAUGACUUAAAUUUAUCAAAUUCUAUUUAUGUUUCUUUUACAUCCCAAUUUUCUAUAGAUUUAGUGACUCCAAAUGAUAAGGUCUCAAGCUUAUAAUAAUUUAUCCCUUGAGUAACACAAGGCUUGGUGGUAUUUCGGUAAUAUUCAUGACAGCAGCAGUCGUGCUAACAAGGACUGAUGUCACCAGAGCACGUUCUAUGUGCCAAGCACGGUGCACAACACUUUACAUGCAUUAUCUCAUUUAAUUUUCA